AAUGGGUCAGCGACUUAUAUUCUGUAGCAAGGUUAACCGAAUAGGGGAGCCGAAGGGAAACCGAGUCUUAACUGGGCGUUAAGUUGCAGGGUAUAGACCCGAAACCCGGUGAUCUAGCCAUGGGCAGGUUGAAGGUUGGGUAACACUAACUGGAGGACCGAACCGACUAAUGUUGAAAAAUUAGCGGAUGACUUGUGGCUGGGGGUGAAAGGCCAAUCAAACCGGGAGAUAGCUGGUUCUCCCCGAAAGCUAUUUAGGUAGCGCCUCGUGAAUUCAUCUCCGGGGGUAGAGCACUGUUUCGGCAAGGGGGUCAUCCCGACUUACCAACCCGAUGCAAACUGCGAAUACCGGAGAAUGUUAUCACGGGAGACACACGGCGGGUGCUAACGUCCGUCGUGAAGAGGGAAACAACCCAGACCGCCAGCUAAGGUCCCAAAGUCAUGGUUAAGUGGGAAACGAUGUGGGAAGGCCCAGACAGCCAGGAUGUUGGCUUAGAAGCAGCCAUCAUUUAAAGAAAGCGUAAUAGCUCACUGGUCGAGUCGGCCUGCGCGGAAGAUGUAACGGGGCUAAACCAUGCACCGAAGCUGCGGCAGCGACGCUUAUGCGUUGUUGGGUAGGGGAGCGUUCUGUAAGCCUGUGAAGGUGUGCUGUGAGGCAUGCUGGAGGUAUCAGAAGUGCGAAUGCUGACAUAAGUAACGAUAAAGCGGGUGAAAAGCCCGCUCGCCGGAAGACCAAGGGUUCCUGUCCAACGUUAAUCGGGGCAGGGUGAGUCGACCCCUAAGGCGAGGCCGAAAGGCGUAGUCGAUGGGAAACAGGUUAAUAUUCCUGUACUUGGUGUUACUGCGAAGGGGGGACGGAGAAGGCUAUGUUGGCCGGGCGACGGUUGUCCCGGUUUAAGCGUGUAGGCUGGUUUUCCAGGCAAAUCCGGAAAAUCAAGGCUGAGGCGUGAUGACGAGGCACUACGGUGCUGAAGCAACAAAUGCCCUGCUUCCAGGAAAAGCCUCUAAGCAUCAGGUAACAUCAAAUCGUACCCCAAACCGACACAGGUGGUCAGGUAGAGAAUACCAAGGCGCUUGAGAGAACUCGGGUGAAGGAACUAGGCAAAAUGGUGCCGUAACUUCGGGAGAAGGCACGCUGAUAUGUAGGUGAAGUCCCUCGCGGAUGGAGCUGAAAUCAGUCGAAGAUACCAGCUGGCUGCAACUGUUUAUUAAAAACACAGCACUGUGCAAACACGAAAGUGGACGUAUACGGUGUGACGCCUGCCCGGUGCCGGAAGGUUAAUUGAUGGGGUUAGCGGUAACGCGAAGCUCUUGAUCGAAGCCCCGGUAAACGGCGGCCGUAACUAUAACGGUCCUAAGGUAGCGAAAUUCCUUGUCGGGUAAGUUCCGACCUGCACGAAUGGCGUAAUGAUGGCCAGGCUGUCUCCACCCGAGACUCAGUGAAAUUGAACUCGCUGUGAAGAUGCAGUGUACCCGCGGCAAGACGGAAAGACCCCGUGAACCUUUACUAUAGCUUGACACUGAACAUUGAGCCUUGAUGUGUAGGAUAGGUGGGAGGCUUUGAAGUGUGGACGCCAGUCUGCAUGGAGCCGGCCUUGAAAUACCACCCUUUAAUGUUUGAUGUUCUAACGUUGGCCCCUGAUCGGGGUUGCGGACAGUGUCUGGUGGGUAGUUUGACUGGGGCGGUCUCCUCCUAAAGAGUAACGGAGGAGCACGAAGGUUGGCUAAUCCUGGUCGGACAUCAGGAGGUUAGUGCAAUGGCAUAAGCCAGCUUGACUGCGAGCGUGACGGCGCGAGCAGGUGCGAAAGCAGGUCAUAGUGAUCCGGUGGUUCUGAAUGGAAGGGCCAUCGCUCAACGGAUAAAAGGUACUCCGGGGAUAACAGGCUGAUACCGCCCAAGAGUUCAUAUCGACGGCGGUGUUUGGCACCUCGAUGUCGGCUCAUCACAUCCUGGGGCUGAAGUAGGUCCCAAGGGUAUGGCUGUUCGCCAUUUAAAGUGGUACGCGAGCUGGGUUUAGAACGUCGUGAGACAGUUCGGUCCCUAUCUGCCGUGGGCGCUGGAGAACUGAGGGGGGCUGCUCCUAGUACGAGAGGACCGGAGUGGACGCAUCACUGGUGUUCGGGUUGUCAUGCCAAUGGCACUGCCCGGUAGCUAAAUGCGGAAGAGAUAAGUGCUGAAAGCAUCUAAGCACGAAACUUGCCCCGAGAUGAGUUCUCCCUGACUCCUUGAGAGUCCUGAAGGAACGUUGAAGACGACGACGUUGAUAGGCCGGGUGUGUAAGCGCAGCGAUGCGUUGAGCUAACCGGUACUAAUGAACCGUGAGG
RNAcentral lists this ribosomal RNA (2324 nucleotides) under Escherichia coli. RNAcentral's name for it is "partial 23S ribosomal RNA". It matches the Rfam family "Bacterial large subunit ribosomal RNA", at positions 614 to 2915 of the family's 2925-position model. Lineage: Bacteria; Pseudomonadati; Pseudomonadota; Gammaproteobacteria; Enterobacterales; Enterobacteriaceae. The record is from RNAcentral.